AUGUCUGAUGCCAAAAUCAACGAUUCACAGUCCGGUUAUGAAUCGGCAUUGACCGGUUUGAUGGUGGCACUGGCCGGCGGCAACUUUAUUCAUGAUGCCG
Non-coding RNA from Desulfobacterales bacterium S5133MH16, 100 nucleotides. Lineage: Bacteria; Pseudomonadati; Thermodesulfobacteriota; Desulfobacteria; Desulfobacterales. The record is from Rfam.